This is a long non-coding RNA of Rattus norvegicus (Norway rat), 5660 nucleotides long. RefSeq lists it as uncharacterized. NCBI's taxonomy places the organism in Eukaryota, Metazoa, Chordata, Mammalia, Rodentia, Muridae. The record is from RefSeq and is a predicted model, not a curated record.
AGAAGGACUUGGGCCCCCACGAGCGUUGCCGGGGAGUGGGUCUUCCUUACGCCACAUUUCACGCACACGGCACGCGGCGGGGAUUCGGCACUGGGCUCUUCCCUGUUCACUCGCCAUUACUGAGGGAAUCCUGGCAGGCACCCGACCAGGCCCCGCUGAUGUGUCCCCAUGGUGGGGAGAGCAGGCGAGGACGGGAGCGAGAGCGCUGGAACGAGCAGGAAUGAGCCACGAGAAGGGUGGCCAGCCCGAGGCGCCGGUGGACAGGGAGACCUAGGCCCACGCAGACCCACCGGGCGUGGACGACCGCCGGACGCCGCCCAGUCUGAACUUCAGGAGACGGAGGGCCAAGGGGUGAGAAGCUAAUACAGAGAGGAGCAGAAAUUAAAAUCAAAGCAGCUCAGAGCAUCAAAGAAGCCUGUGGUAAAACCAAAUCUGCAGCAACACAAUUGUAAGCAAUACCCAUUAUGGAAAAGUAAAAGACAAUGCAAAAGGUUCAUUAAUGUAUAUGAUGGAAACUGUUCCUUCUACCAUCAACUCUGUGUGUGUGUGUGUGUGUGUGUGUGAAUUUUCUCUCUUCCCUGGUCUUUCUCACUGACCCCAAGGAGUUAAGAGUUCAUAGGUUUUUCGCUGAUCAUAGAGAGUGCCAACCCCCAGUAACUUAAGCUUUGCUCCCUCAGAAAACUGUCUGUUGAGUAACAUCUCUAGUCGCUGGCUGCCUGUUGCAGCAUCCCCAUAGGUGUCUGGAUCCACCCCAAUCAAUAGCUUUAAGCACUGACUCCCAAUGGCUGCCUGCCUCAUUUUACCCACCACACAGAUGCCAACAUUGGUCAUCAGCAAUAGUAGAAAAUCGUUUACUUUUAAUUUAAAAGGAAAUCGAGUUUCAGCUUAAUUUUCUGUGUGUUUUCUUGAAUAUAUGUGACUGUGUCCGUGAAGAGACAGACUGCCCAGAAGGGCAGUUAUGAACAGUUGUGAGGCGAGUUUUUCUUAUUUGUAAAGACUGACAAAUAAUGCCUCGCCAAUGCCAUACAAAUAAAAAAAGAAAAAGAAAAAGAAAAAGAAAAAUAUAGCUUUCAAUUUCUUAUCAUUUUAUACCUCAAGGAAGCUAAACAUGACAAUGCCUAUUACUGUUAUUAUUAUUAUUAUUAUUAUUAUUAUUAUUAUUAUUAUUAUUAUUAUGGUUUUCACCGGAGGAUCACUAGGGACUAUUAUGUUAUUUAAAAUUCUUUACAUGGUAGUAUAGAUGAAGGACUCAGACUAAAAUAUUUCCUUUGUAAUAUAUAUUUCAUAAGUGGAAAUUGUAGAACUGACUUGCUAGGCUUAAUUUUUCUAAAAAUAUAAAAAAAAUCAUCUAUCCAUUAAGAAAUAGAACUCACUUAGCUUCUCCAUACCUACCUUCAUAGCCACAAGAAGCAAUUUCAUCUCUAGAAAAAAACAGAAUCAAUUCAAUUUCUUUGCGUAGAAUUGGGAUUCUUACUCACUGAUGAAUCUGAUAUUAGGUCUGCAUUAAAAUAAGAUUUAAUCAUUAUGUUAAAAUAUAUUUUCCUGGGGUUGGGGAUUUAGCUCAGUGGUAGAGCGCUUGCCUAGUAAGCGCAAGGCCCUGGGUUCGGUCCCCAGCUCCGAAAAAAAAAUAUAUUUUCCUUAAAUGUUAUUAAGGAAAUAUGGUUUCUAUUAUUUUCAGGUGCAAAUAUUUAGGUUCCAAACACCUGCAUGAAUGGCCAUACUUAGUACAAAAACAAGUAAAAUUGAUUUUUUAUUUUUCAGCAGUGUUCAGACAAAAACGCGUCACUAUAAACUCACGGUAUCAUGUUUUAAUAAAUGUAAACCAUUCUGUUUACCUUGUCAGACAGUCCCUGGGGUAGGCAAGGGUGGAAGUGGUAAGGAGGAUGAAGUCUACCUCCUUGCUUAGGAGAACUAUGCAGCUCACUAUAAUAGGAAAAACAGAAAAGAAGUUUCUUGGAAUGGUUAUUUUUUCUUUCCUAAAAGAACUUUCUAUAGAACUUACAGCUAAUAUGUUAAAGAAAUUUCAAGUUUCUGCCAGCCAUUUGAUUAAACAAAAACUUACCAAUCAUUUUUAGAAAGUUUGGUUUCCUGUUUCCCAUAUCCAGAAACUAAGUCAGUGUAACUAGAUGAUCUCAUCUAUACAGUACAUCCAUCCAUACAUGCGUGCACACACACACACACACACACACACACACACAAAUAUAUGCACAUUAUAUAAACAUUUUUAUAUACUAUAAUGACACUUUAUCUUAAACAUUAAAGUAUUUCUUUUAUACACAGGUAAAAACAGUCUAACAGCAUUAUUUUCUACUUGUCAUGAAACAAGUGCACCUUCAACUAAAAAACCUGAGCUCAAUUUUUGUCAGUAGUAACUGCUUUACAGAACAUAAUUCCAGUUUCGAUAGAAAAACAGCUUACCAGCAUUUGUAAUAUCCAAACCAAAUUUGCAAUCUCACCCAGAUGUAUAAAUGUGCCCGGCACCUGAACCAUAAAGAAGUCCAUUAAUAAUGGAUUAGUAUAUUAAAGAAAUUGGUCAUUGCUGUCGAUAAUACUAUUAGGUUAAGCAUGAUGUGUGGUUUUAUAGAACUUUUUCUGCUACAAACAACACUGUUUGUAAAGCAAGACCCAAAUCUAUCACUUUAGCUAAUUCCAAACAAAGCUAUUCUGUGUACACUGCAGUAGCACAGAGUUUAAAAAACUACUCACUGCCUCUUUUUCACACAUAUUGAAACACCUCAAUGUUCUAUGAAAAACAGCAAAGUUAUUGCACCACCAGAAAUACACAGUACAAUAUCUAACUUCAUUUCAGUAGAGCAUGAGACUUAAUCUCAGGGUCAAAGGCACCAAUUAAAAAAGGAAUUAAACACUCUAACUAGUCCAAAUAAAAGACACACAAUCCAGGUACUUUAUUUAAAAGUCAUAAGCCUAAUUGGGCAGGUUUACAGCUAUACUACACUAUUUCCAUGCCAUAAUGUCCCUUGUUACUUGCUGUUUUUUCCAGGACAUAUGCUCAGGGUCCAUCUCCUCACCUGGUGGCUUUCUCCUCCCUUGGUCUCCUCUCUUGUUCCCCCUUCUCUUCUCUCUUGAGACCCUCCACUCCAUCCUCAAGUCCCACCUUUCUUCUUCUAUUGCCUAAUCACAGACUCUAUCCACUUUUGAUGAGUUAAACUAAGAAGCAAAGUUUACAAAGCAUCACUUGGGGUACCUGAGGGUCUGUUCCUCAGGGCUUCCAGAUCUUGGGAGCCAGUAUGUAGGGAGCAUUUAAAUACAAGAAGCACCAUGCCAACCCCACGAAUAACUUUUCCUUAUCUGACCAAUAACCAUCAACAUCUUUACCUAAUACACAGCCCAUACAGAUAUUUUCAGAUCCUAGCACCCAUAGCUAUGGCUUCUGGUAAAAUGUAAGGAUGUGUCACAUUCUUACAAACUCAAGACAAACUGAGCAGAUUAUCCAGUAUUUUCACAACAGUCCACUAUUUAAUCUGCAAGAAUUUAAGGGUCAUCAAUAACAAACCAACAGAAAAUGCCACUAAGCAAAGACAACAGCCAUGAUAUAUUAUAUUCCAAAGUUACAACCAUGAAUUAAGCUUUAAAAGGAAGUUAUUACAUAACCGUUAUAUUUUAAAGACUUUUAAAAUAAGAAUCUCACUUGGAAAUAAUGCAUAGUUCAUCUUUGACUACUGAGUGUGGGCCAUGCACCCCCACUGCCAUGGCCUGAGAGGCAACACCAGAGUGUUCCUCUUCACUGGGCUAGCUGACAUGCUCCACAGUGCAGCAGAGUGCAUGGGUCUCUCCACAAGCAGAGUGAGCUACUCUAUGUGAGAUUCGUGAAAAUACAAGGAUACACAGUCCUCUCUGGAGGGCAAACUAGACAAGCACAUGGAGAAAGGAUGUGGAGGAAUAGUUGGAGAAAUCAGAGACCAUGACACAAAAUUUUGAAAGAGUAAUCACUGAGAGUCAGUCUGUGACUAAUAGAAUUUAAAUUGUUGCUCCUGUAGAAUGAAAAGUAAAGUUGCUAACAGCGCAGAAAACAUCUGCAUCCUGGGAAUCCAGGAAGGGUUUGUAAAAGGCCCCAAACAUGUGCAGAGAUUAAAUAGCUCUAAACAGAAUCAUCAAAGAGAUGAUUCAGGAAACAGCACACAAAGGAAGUCACAGAUGGAUCAAAUGCUCUGGUUACAUUGACCUAAUUUCUUAAUAUAAGGAACAAGAAAUCAGUUUCCAAAAAACACGAAAGAUGCUUCAUCUAACAAUACAAGUCAAUAUUAGACCUAAUUUUUAUAGAGCUAAUGUGUAAAAGUCAAAGAUACUAACUUCUUAAAUGACUCUUAGUACGUUUAAUUUUUGUGCAAUGUCUUAUAAUGACUCAGAGAAUGUGAUAUUGGAAAAAAGUAGAAGAAAGGCAUUGGAAAAGGAGUUUUAGGCACAGGUUUGGUUGUAAAUUUAGUAAAAGACAAUCUAGUCCUUCUAUAUCUAGCAAAUACUUUUACAGGCUCCAAAUGGGUCAAAGACCUUAAGAUACAAAAAUGAAUGUCAUAAAGUUAAAACAAGGAUAUAGUAUCAAGGUAUUAUGACCACUUUUUUAAAGGAAAGGAAUAUUUCAUUUUGUGGAACUUAAACAUUUCCUCUAAUAUUUGACAUCUGGUGGCCCAUCCAAAAGAAAUGAAAAAAAUAUGAAUUAUAAAAGGAUGUCAAAUAUUUUAAAAAUCCAGUGGUUAAUAAGAUGCAGCUAAUUAAGUAAGCAAAGAAAAUAUUCUGCUGCAAAACCAUGCUUGGCCAGCCAGUGAUGGAAAGCAAGACAAAAGAAGAUUAGUUUCCUGCUAUUUUCAAAGAACAAGUAUCUACCCAGGUCAAAAUCUAGAUGGAGACUACUAAAACAAGCAGCUGACUUGGCGUCUACCCACCAGACUGAGCAACAAAGGAACUUAGAAACACCACCAAACAUGCACAACAGUUUUUUUUCCCUCAUUUUGACAGAUGUUCACUAAGUAUUUUCUUAGUGUUCAGCAUGGGACACGUACUGUGUACUUCCUUCAGUUACACAUCCCUGGCUUUCUAGAACUUAAAUUUUUAUCUAUUUAAUAAUACAAAGAAGGAAAUUCAGAAAGAAAAAGCAACAUGGUACACAAGUAUGCUGAAGAAACUGACCACAAGCAAUAAAACAAAGUCUCAACAAGCUCAAGAAGUUAUCCCAAGAUCUACUGACACAAAUCACUAAUCUCAAAAUUUUCUGAAAAUAUUUAACAGCUAAUAAGAGCCCUAGAAAACUUGAAAAACUGAAACACAUAUAAAUUUUAAAUGUGUGUCUACAAUCACCCUUCGUAGUGCACCGUGUAAGCAGAUGAUGGCAACUAAGAAAGACUAAUUCCUGAAAAGAAAUCCAGAUGGACAGAUUCUGUUUUGCCUCAACAGGGUCGUUUCUAAAAUAACCAUUGUUUUUUUUAAAUCUGACAAAACAGGAAACAGAAGUAACUGGGAUAAAACGAAAAUCUAGAUCCUUUCUACUGUGCUAUAUGUCUAUCUUCUCGUUAAUGUGUUCCUAAAACUAUGAUUUCUUUUAAUGUUUGUGGUUUUACAAUUUAUUCUACAAGGAAACCAAUAGGAAAGACUUGCCAAUUUCUUUGGAACUGUAAUGCAAGGUAGUAAAACAAAUGAAGAUCUUG